Molecule: ribosomal RNA, 348 nt
Filed under: Triticum aestivum (bread wheat)
Lineage: Eukaryota; Viridiplantae; Streptophyta; Magnoliopsida; Poales; Poaceae
Description: partial small subunit ribosomal RNA
Source: RNAcentral
AUGUUUCUUGAUGUCCAGAAAUGGAUGUUUCUUCUUCUUUGGUCUCAAAUGACCCUUGAAAAUGAUCAGAUUAUUCCAAUGGCUUCUUCUUGUUCUGCUUGCGCCCUUGAAAGUUGGGUCACCCUUCGCUUUGACGACGCAUCUGUGUGUUUGACGGUCAGCUGUACCGUUGAUGGUGCCGCAAUGUUUAGUAAGUCCAGUGAAACUCAAUUUAGGACAUGGUGGCUUACGGCAGCCCACACGACUGUGUGUUUUGUGAUUAUCAAUUUUACGGUAAUGGCCUAUAUUUUACACAAUGAAUUUAUUUACAUGGGAAUUGAGAGGAAGUGGAUAUUAAUGACUUCUUGA